Long non-coding RNA from Pseudophryne corroboree (corroboree frog), 1322 nucleotides. RefSeq lists it as uncharacterized. The record is from RefSeq and is a predicted model, not a curated record. NCBI's taxonomy places the organism in Eukaryota, Metazoa, Chordata, Amphibia, Anura, Myobatrachidae. The transcript has 6 exons.
GGAAGAGGAGAGCCGGAGCGGUGAUGCAGAUGGAGAGAGACGGGGUGAAAGGCUAUAUGCGGCCAGCUGAAGGGAGCUGAGUGACUGGCGGAGGAGGAGGCCAGAGAGCUGAGCUAGGGGAGCCACGGAUACCGCUAACCUGAUCCAUCUCCCGGAGACUGAUGAACGGAGGCAGGCGGGCGAUGAGCUGUUGUGACGGAAAUAACCCCAGCUGUAACCAGAGCUGCUAAUGAUGCUGCAGGUUCCAAAGGACAAGAUGUCCUAGCCUGCACAAACUUCUGUCCUUCUGCAAGUGCUGACAACUCGCCAUAAAACCCAUGCAACUCAGGGGAAAUGGAGGCUUGUGUUGCGUCAUAUAUUGGUUUCGCACUGCUGAGUUCCACGCUUCAUAUAUGAUCGCAAACAUUUGGGUACAUCAGCUGACUUAAUGAAUCAAAAGAGAAAACCGUGAAGGACCUCUCUCCAAUGGCAAGGCUCUAAAAAGACACAAAGACCUUCUCGGCCUCUGGCCACUGUUAGUGAAGCCUCGGAUGGUGCUGAUGCUGGCCCAUCCACACACGUAUUGCCUACGCGGAAGCGAAGUCUGGAGGUGUCUUCAAGAGAGGCACAAGAGCCUCCACCACAACGAAGAAUCUCAAUGCCGACAACAUUCUUCAGCCACGUCAGCCAGGACAACUGCAUGAAUCGGACAAUGAGGAACCAUUUACCCUCAACCUCACUGCAAUACCACCCAAUGACCAAACAUCCUCACAUUUUGCUACUCCGCCCACUCAACAAACACCUGAGCAGGACAGAAGCACAACCACACUUAGAACACAGGCUCAAGACCAGGCUUUUUGGGACAGCUGGUCCUCCCAGCAAGCCAAUAAUUUAGAAUGUUUGCGAAGGCAAACACAAUCUAUUUCAAGUAUAGGCCAUCACAUACUAAGACUCGCCAGAAGCAACAGCAGACAAACUGCAGAACUAACCAGGAUGGCCAACACCCUAGAAUUAUUGAGGGCAGGCAACAAACGUAUGAUAGACACAUUUCAAUGAGUCAUAGAUGACAAUCACAGGCUCCAUCAAGCCUACUUGCAGAUCAUAACUGCAACACAAAAUACCCAAGACACCAUGGUCGGAAUCAUGGAGAACCCCAUGUCUGCCACAAGAGACUUAAAUUUAACACUUACAACCCUUACCCAACAUUUCAGUCAUCAAGGGGAGCAGACAAGUUCAAGUUCCUCAACCACAACCCCCUUAGUGACACCUGUAACGUCCCCACCCAGACGUUCUGACCGAACAUAACCAGACACCAGUGUGAAUGGGCCAGCCAGCUCAAGAGG